GACGAGCGCUGGCGGCGUGCUUAACACAUGCAAGUCGAACGAAGAGCGAUGGAAGCUUGCUUCUAUCAAUCUUAGUGGCGAACGGGUGAGUAACGCGUAAUCAACCUGCCCUUCAGAGGGGGACAACAGUUGGAAACGACUGCUAAUACCGCAUACGAUCUAAUCUCGGCAUCGAGGAUAGAUGAAAGGUGGCCUCUACAUGUAAGCUAUCACUGAAGGAGGGGAUUGCGUCUGAUUAGCUAGUUGGAGGGGUAACGGCGCACCAAGGCGAGGAUCAGUAGCCGGUCUGAGAGGAUGAACGGCAAAACUGGGACUGAGACACGGCCCAGACUCCUACGGGAGGCAGCAGUGGGGAAUCUUUCGGAAUGGAAGAAAGUCUGACGGAGCAACGCCGCGUGAGUGAUGACGGCCGUCGGGUUGUAAAGCUCUGUUAAUCGGGACGAAAGGCCUUCUUGCGAAUAGUGAGAAGGAUUGACGGUACCGGAAUAGAAAGCCGCGGCUAACUACGUG
This 510-nucleotide ribosomal RNA is filed under the name uncultured bacterium. RNAcentral describes it as "partial 16S ribosomal RNA". It matches the Rfam family "Bacterial small subunit ribosomal RNA", at positions 28 to 507 of the family's 1533-position model. The record is from RNAcentral.